CACGUGGCCGAUUCUUUGAGACCGCUUUGACUGGUCGAAAACAGAACCAACGCAGUCUCAGAGGCCACAAAAGUGGAAACAAUCUUUAAGUCCGGAAGUAGUCCGAAUCUAUGAAAAUGGAAAGACAAUUCUGAAUCUUCAAGUCCGUGUGCAUUCCCCAAUAUUUACGACCGGAGAAAAUAUCAAAUCUUUCAGGCAACUGCUUCAAUCUUUUAGCUUGGAAUAAUAAAGUAGGAUGAUGUACCUAUUUCGUUGGUCCCUGGUAACAUCGUAAUGACUAUUGGAGACGGCCGGGAUAUUAGUAUUCACUUGCGAGAGGUGGAAUUCUUACAUUUUCUGAAGACUAACUAAGGUGAAAGCAUUUUUAAGAACAUUUUCUCAAAUCAAGAACGAAAGUUAGGGCAUCGAAGUUGAUCGUAGCCUUCACCAUAAACUAUGCCGACUAAGGUUUAGGCGGCGCCUCACGUAAAUGACGCGCACAGCGCCUUGCGAGAAAUCAAAGCUUUUCUAUUCUGGGGGAUAUAUGGUUGCAAGGCUCAAUAUUAAAGGAAUUGACGGCAGGACACUCUCUUUUCAAAGUGCUUUCCAUCUCUCCAUCACUG
Molecule: non-coding RNA, 602 nt
Filed under: Metschnikowia bicuspidata var. bicuspidata NRRL YB-4993
Lineage: Eukaryota; Fungi; Ascomycota; Pichiomycetes; Serinales; Metschnikowiaceae
Description: Eukaryotic small subunit ribosomal RNA
Rfam family: Eukaryotic small subunit ribosomal RNA
Source: Rfam by way of RNAcentral